GGCCCCAAAAAUUUCCAUUAGCGAACACAACGGUAGCUUUGUUACUCGGCACUUUCUUUAUUCUGUAGCCCCAGCGUCUGGCCAAUUUUAUGGCUGUAUCGCCACCUUCGACACCUAUUGUAAAAACCGAUCCCAUCCCAAAAGUUUCGUCAAGUAUUCUCCUAAUUCGCCUUGAGGUUCUGAGUAGAAGGCUCUUGAUGUAUGCGCCAGCUUUCCAGCUUGAUCUCUCAUGACUUUCACUAGACGCGGAUGGCAGUGGCCCUGACUGACAGUCGAGAAUCCCGCCAGAAAAUCAAGAACACGAAGUGCCUCGAGAGCGAUCCUGCAUCCCAGGGGAUUACCGCCAUAGGUAGAUCCAUGCUCACCGGGUUUGAUGGUGAGCAUAACGGAGUCAUUUGCCAACACACCGGAAACUGGA
Molecule: long non-coding RNA, 418 nt
Organism: Formica exsecta
Lineage: Eukaryota; Metazoa; Arthropoda; Insecta; Hymenoptera; Formicidae
Exons: 3
Source: RefSeq, a predicted model, not a curated record